UAUGUAAUAUUUCUAGCAUUUUUCUUAAUUAUACAUGUAUACUAUAUUACAGAAAUAUCAAAUUCAGAUAGUUUAAAGUGUCACAUACACACACCCACAAACACUAACCUUUCAGUUUUCAAUAACAGAAGUUCCUACAAACCCCAGCAGAAAUGGCAAAACCUUGAUACAGGAUAGAUUAAGUUAAAACAAUUUUUGGUUACAUGUUUGCAAUAUACUCCUUAGUUAACAGAAAAAUGAGAAAAGAGAUGAAAAACAAUACCAUUAUUACCUAAUACCAACUAAAACAUUUAAAUGAAACUUCACAGGGAAAAUAAAGUAUAUAGGCGAAAAUAAUAUAAUAUUCUUCCCAAAGCACUAGGGAACCUUUUAAAGGUACAUAUAGAGCAUGCUCUAGUGGAAUAGUGUGAUAACCACGUUUAUACAAAAGCUUAUAGCAUAUAAAGAAAAGUCAAACAAGGGAAUGGAAAAGUAUGAAAGUUGUUAUUAAGAUGCAAAUUUUUUGAAAACACGGACAAACUAAAUGCAUUUUUUAGGUAACAAUUUCAUGUUUAUUCAUUACCUUAAUUAAAUGUUUAUUCAUUAAGCUUAAGCUAAUAGUACUCAUAUAUAGAAUUUUGGAGGUCAAAGUAUUACAUAAAUAGAUUUUUAUAUUUGCAUACUUUAUAAGAUAUAAUAAUCAUAACAAAGAUA
Molecule: unclassified non-coding RNA, 693 nt
Filed under: Hevea brasiliensis (rubber tree)
Lineage: Eukaryota; Viridiplantae; Streptophyta; Magnoliopsida; Malpighiales; Euphorbiaceae
Source: RNAcentral